UGAGGGUAAUGCAUGCAUACAGUAAU
Molecule: non-coding RNA, 26 nt
Filed under: Rattus norvegicus (Norway rat)
Lineage: Eukaryota; Metazoa; Chordata; Mammalia; Rodentia; Muridae
Source: RNAcentral